GGGGCUGACCUGGAUUUGACAGCAACUGCAUCUAAUUAGUAUAAGCAUGUCGAGCCAUGUGGUGAGUCUCGUUAAUCUCUGGUCACACACGAUAAUUGACAACACGUCAUAUAAUCUUGCAGCCUAAUAACCUCAGGUUAUUACGCUUAAUCCACUCCGAAGCACAGUAAGAGGGACAAGUUUCUCGCCAGUUCUCCCGUCUCAUGAGCGCUGGAUCCCGAGAAAUCAACAAUUUGAGAAUAGUUUGUAAACGGCUUCUGUUUGCAUGCGAAAUUGAAUGAAGAUAAGUUAUGGUAAGGGUGUUUGUGUCCGUUCCAUAAUCGAAAACCUAAUCACAAACUAAACAUGUAGAAGGCUGAUUAUUUCAUUGUUUGGACGAGGGUUCGAACCCCUCCAGCUCCACAA
Molecule: transfer-messenger RNA, 405 nt
Filed under: Brumimicrobium aurantiacum
Lineage: Bacteria; Pseudomonadati; Bacteroidota; Flavobacteriia; Flavobacteriales; Crocinitomicaceae
Description: Standard tmRNA
Rfam family: transfer-messenger RNA
About the family: Bacterial tmRNA, also known as 10Sa RNA or SsrA, is named for its dual tRNA and mRNA-like properties. Its role is to liberate the mRNA from a stalled ribosome.
Source: RNAcentral